Molecule: long non-coding RNA, 1736 nt
Filed under: Homo sapiens (human)
Lineage: Eukaryota; Metazoa; Chordata; Mammalia; Primates; Hominidae
Description: HSALNT0319176
Source: RNAcentral
GUCACUUUUUAAGGAAAACUGAAAUAUGGAUUUGAUUUUGCUUUAUACUACACACCUUCACUGGGCCUUGAGGUAGCCAUGGUGUAGACUAAACAGAAAGUGUAGACUAAACAACUGACUUGGCCACAGCACAGCCUUGGGUGAGAGGAGUGGGGGAGGUAACAGGUGGAGUCUGGAGGAGCUUCUGUGGGAGGCCUCCCUGGGCGGAGUCAGCCGGGCAGGCAGGGCACCUGGGACUCCACUGCCGGGUCUAGGCCAAUCCCAGUUUCCCCGUUCCAGUGGGGAGAGGAGACUGACCCCGGGGAGUCCCUGGAAAAAGCCUGGAGAGAGACACAGAGGUGACCUGGGAAAUGCAUUGCCUCACACGGAGGUCCUCUCAGGCCCUCGGGAAGUGUGUGGACAGCAUCCAAACCGGAGGCCAGAAAAGUGAUGACAUCUGAGCAACAAGAAGCAGGGGCUGAUCGUGUCCGUGGAAGAAUGAGGGGAUACUGCAGGGGAAUGAAGAGAAGAAGGUGACUGAAUCCAGGAGGGGAGACACCUUCCCGUUCCUCCUCCCAGCCUUGGAGCAAGUGUGGGGAGCGGGGCUGUCUGCAUUCCUCCCUUUCAGCCUCCCACCCUGAACCUAUUUCUCACUUUGUUUCACAUGAUAGGAACAUGAUGGCAUUUCCUGUAACUCACCAUGUCAGCAAAUGCAGCUACUGCCAAUUCACAAAACUGCUUUCCUCAGGUCAGUGGGCCAAAUGGGCCCCAGCUCCACCAAGGCAUUGCCUUGGCCUGCCACUGCACAGCAACACGGGCCUCCUGCGCUCAGAGGGUCCCAGGGAAACACAGAGUGACAGUGGGUUCAGUUCCUGUCACCUCCCCUCAGGUGACUUUGUGACCAUGGUCAACAUGUGACCUCAGUUUCUUCAUUUCUUAGAGAGGGUGCAGGCCACCUUCCCAGGGCUGUUGUGAGGGCCCAUGAGAUGGCGGUGCUAGUGCAGUGUCUCACACUCUGAAUCUUAAAGAUAUUCUUUGAGCAUCUGCUGUGUCACAGCCACUGUCCUAGAAGCCGAGGGUAUAAUGGCCAAACAGCCCCAGCCCAGUCCGCAGAGGGCUGUAUCCUAUAAGGGAAAAAGGCAAUAAAGAGCCACUGCUGUAUACUAAGGACAGGCGGGGGAGGUGGAGUAAGAAAUACAGGUUCUGCUAAGAGCUGAAUUACCAUUCGACCCUGCAAUCCCAUUACUGAGUAUAUACUCAAAACAAAAUAAAUCAUCCUACCAAAAAGACACAUGUACUCACACGUUCAUCACAGCACUAUUCACAAUUGCAAAGACAUGGAACCAACCCAGGUGCCCAGUAACAGUGAACCGGAUAAAGAAAAUGUGAUAUAUGGACACCAUGCAAUACUCUGCAGCCAUAGAAAGGGACAAAAUCAUGUCCUUUGCAGCAACAUGGAUGCAGCUGCAGGUCAUUACCCUAAGCAAACUAAUUCAGAAACAGAAACCAAGCAUCACAUGUUCUCACUUAGAAAUGAGAGCUGAACACUGGGUACACAUGGACAUAAAGAUGAGAACAGACACCAGGGACUCCUGGGGGGUGGAGAGGGAGGGAGGAAGGCAAGGGUUGAAAAACUACCUAUUGGGUACCAUGCUUGGUUCCUGGGUGACAAGUUCAAUCACACUCCAAUCCUCAGCAUCACACAAUACACCUUUGUAAGAAACCUGCAUACGCAAUCCUGGAAUCUAAAAUAAAAG